RNAcentral lists this ribosomal RNA (823 nucleotides) under uncultured archaeon. Its description in RNAcentral is "bacterial SSU rRNA". It matches the Rfam family "Archaeal small subunit ribosomal RNA", at positions 27 to 861 of the family's 1478-position model. The record is from RNAcentral.
AUGAUGGAUCGGGUUCGAUUAGCCUGCGAGUCGAGAGGUGAAGACUCGGCAUACUGCUCAGUAACACGUGGACAACCUACCCUAAGGAGGGGGAUAACCCCGGAAAACUGGGGAUAAUACCCCAUAGACUACAGAAACUGGAAUGUUCUGUAAUCGAAAGGUCCGCCGCCUUAGGAUGGGUCUGCGGCUGAUUAGGUUGUUGUUGGGGUAACGGCCCAACAAGCCUGUAAUCAGUACGGGUUGUGGGAGCAAGAACCCGGAGAUGGAUUCUGAGACACGAAUCCAGGCCCUACGGGGCGCAGCAGGCGCGAAAACUUUACAAUGCGAGAAAUCGUGAUAAGGGAACCCCGAGUGCCCGUAAAUUCGGGCUGUUAAUCUGUGUAAAAAGCAGGUGGAGAAAGGGCCAGGCAAGACCGGUGCCAGCCGCCGCGGUAAUACCGGCGGCUCGAGUGGUGGCCACUAUUACUGGGCUUAAAGCGUCCGUAGCUGGAUUGUUAAGUCUCUUGGGAAAUCUACCGGCUUAACCGAUAGGCGUUCAAGGGAUACUGGCAAUCUAGGGACCGGAAGAGGUGAGAGGUACUCCAGGGGUAGGAGUGAAAUCCUGUAAUCCUUGGGGGACCACCUGUGGCGAAGGCGUCUCACCAGAACGGCUCCGACAGUGAGGGACGAAAGCUGGGGGAGCAAACCGGAUUAGAUACCCGGGUAGUCCCAGCUGUAAACGAUGUGCGUUAGGUGUAUCGGUGACCACGAGUCACCGAGGUGCCGAAGAGAAAUCGUGAAACGUACCGCCUGGGAAGUACGGUCGCAAGGCUGAAACUUAAAG